This 429-nucleotide long non-coding RNA is filed under the name Gallus gallus (chicken). Lineage: Eukaryota; Metazoa; Chordata; Aves; Galliformes; Phasianidae. The record is from RNAcentral.
UCACAGAUGAGCUGGGCAAUUCUAUCUCCUUUCUUAACUUCAAAAGUCUCCUUGCCAAAGUUGAAGAGUACCACGCCAACAUUUCCCCUGUAAUCCUCAUCAAUAACACCAGCACCAACAUCUAUGAAGUGCUUUGCAGCUAAACCAGAACGCGGUGCUACUCGGCCAUAGCAUCCAGCAGGAAGUGCAAUCUGAAUGUCUGUUUUCACUACAGCCUUUUCCAUGGGUGGGAUCACGUAGUCAUAGGCACUGUACAAGUCGUAGCCCGCGGCCCGUGCAGAGCCCUUGGAUGGAGCGCAGGCAUUCUCGGACAGCUUGGUGAAGCGGAGCCGAGCGGAGGGCUCCCCGGCCGCCGAGCCCUUCUGCCUCUUGCUGGGGGAUGGCUGCAGGGCGGCCUCAGAGCAGGGCAUGGCUGUACGAGGAGGAGAA